RNAcentral lists this long non-coding RNA (1142 nucleotides) under Homo sapiens (human). RNAcentral's name for it is "long intergenic non-protein coding RNA 2981". Lineage: Eukaryota; Metazoa; Chordata; Mammalia; Primates; Hominidae. The record is from RNAcentral.
GCGCCUUUGUUUCCGUCUCCUUCUCCUUUCCCUCCUCUUUUGUGUCGGGCCAGACUCAGCCCCAGAAACCAGCCACCCUGCCGCGUCCGACUGCCAGGGAUCCCUCACGCCGCGAGGUGGAGUCUCGCUCUGUCGCCCAGGCUGGAGUACAGUGGUGCGAUCUUGGCUCCCUGCAACUUCUGCCUCCCAGGUUCAAGCGAUUUUCCUGCCUCAGCUUCCUGAGUAGCUGGGACUACAGUACCAGAGAUGUCUCCAAGAGCACCAGCAACCCCAGCUAUCUGGAUCUGAAGUGGAUAUGCUCAGAGACAUCCUGGCCCACCCCAAAGAAGAUGCUGCUGCACUCAGAAGACGCCAGAGCUAGCCACCACCCACACUGCAAGUCUGGAAGCUCUGCAAGGACCCAGCAAGGCAGCCUGCUCAGCGAAGGCUUUGUCUCCUGUGGCAGGAAGAGCAACAUUAAGAACAAGAACCCCGGGCUGGACUACCCCUGAGAUUUAAUGACCAGAGCUGAGACCCCCAAGACCACAAUGACUAUGGAGGGCUGUCAUUACCCUGCCUGACCCUCUAAUGCCUCUCAGUUCAAGGAGGCCACUGAGUGAAACUGAAGGCUGGUUUUCCUUGGAAGCCAGCGGCCCAUCCACCUGCUCCACUUCCCUGCCUCUUGCAGCCUCCGCUCAAACACUGUCGUGGCUUGGCAGCACUACAAGUAUUUCAGGGGCUGCCAAGCUGCUCUCCUGUUUCCUCUUCCUUGGGGCUGAUUGCAUCCCAUGAUGUGCCCAGGUUUUGAGAUGCUCCUCGUGAAUGAAAAUAGGACUGUCUGGUUCCUCCAUCCAUAGCAAGGGAGCCUAGACAGAAAUAACUUCUGUGCAUUUCUCCAGCUACAUUUAGGGAAAACUAGAAAAUACAGAAAUAUAUCAAGAAGAAAAAAAAUUUAAAAAUGACCCAAAAUCCCACCAACCAGAGACAGCUAUUAAUGAUUGUGGUAUAUUUAUUGUAAGUCUCUUUAUUUCUGUCUUCAUGCAAACACAUUUUUAAAGAAUGGACACUGGUAUUAUAUUGUUUAUACAACUCUAAAUGCUGCUUUUUCACUUAUUACAAUUAGGACUUUUUUCAUGUUAAUAAAUACUUCCUGAAAACAUAAA